CGUGAGCACGCAACAUGGUACCCUCCCCCAGCCAGUUCUCAGGUCAGCUGCCGCCACUGACCACUCCGCCACCACGCAUGAAGUCCUCCCAGCUAACCACCACGACCAUGCUUCCUCGACCAGCUGUUGUUAACCCUUCCGCCACCACGGCCGACGGCCCACCGGCCAGCCACCGCCGCUAGCACUUCCGCGCCUCGACAGAUGACACCUGCCGUCUCUAGGCCUUCCACCGCUGCACAGAUGUGCAUUAACUCUAUCCCGCCGUUCAUCUUCUCACUGCCGAGUUUAUUGCUCCCACAAUCCCUUCGAUCUCCAUGACGGAUACUCUCCCAGCCACAAAUGCACAUGAAACGGCUCACGCACCACAACAUUCAUUGCCCCCCACAUCAGCUCACCCUCUAUAUAUUACCCUACAAUUGUGGGAAAAGUGGGUUUAUAAGCCCCUCUGUACUACCAUCGUCAUCCACCACCCACACCUAUUCAACCGGUCCUGCCCUGCUAGCUUCACACUCCAGCCACCCCUAAUUUCCCUUAUCCUCAGGUUUAUACUUUUGAAUUUCUCAGAUUUCACUCGAGAGCGAAAGGUGCUUGAAUUUUUGCUUCAUAGAUCUAUUGCUGCUCGGAUUGGAUUCACUCCUCCAUAGGUCUCCUACUUCUCACAUUGAUUACACCCUGGACUGGAAGUUGCUUGACGUUAUGGUUCAUAGACCCCUUGCUGCUUGGAUUGGGUUCGUUGUUUCAUAGGUCUCUUGUGGUUCGCAUCGAUAAAAAGGGAGUGUAAUGCUGGAUCAUCUGAUUCAUCAAGUGAACCAGUCAAUGAAAUAGGUAAUUAUCUAGAAUGUUGCUAUAUUUCACCAAUUGAGGUUGUUUGGCACUUGCCGAAAAGAAUGGAGAUUCAUUCAGUUUCUAGGUUCUCCAAAUGUUAUCUCACAAAGAAAAGCUUCUCAGUUCACAAUGCCCCAAUGUUGCCAUCUACAAAGGUUAGACAGUUUCUAUUAAUGCAAAGAGUAUCUUCUUUUUCCUAAUUUUCAACAAUAUAUUACCUACAAAAUAUGAACCUUAACCAUGAAGUACUUCGAGCCAUCUCCAAGCAAAGAAAAGAUGAUCCAUCCAUCUUCAAAAAGUAUCAAGAGUGCGACCAUCGACGGACCAAAGCGAUCAUCGACGAACCAAAGGACUCAAACAACAUUAUACCUCCCUCUUGCCAACCCGCUGCUAUUGUCAUCGAGAAAAAACAAAAUAUGUACUCUUUAGAUAAACUCUUCAGAGAAAUUGAGCAUUCAACUUAAAGAAGGCAAAACCACCAACAAACAUAUUAUUGUGCAAUCAGGCCAGGCAAGGGAAGCAUAACAUCAUUAAGAUGCAUGCAAGCAUCAGAAUAAAGUUGCAAGAAUGUUGUUUUUCAACAACAUGCAGGACAUCGUCAAGAUGCAUGCAAGAACCUACGAGCUGCACAUCCUUUCUACCAAAACUUAGUAUAUACGUUCCAGCUCCGGUGACGUGUACAAAAUGGUAGAAACAUAAGUAAAUGCCAUGUCAAAUUUUAGGGUGAAAUUCUAUCUGAAAUCUUGAUGGUUCAGUUAACUUUUUUAUCAUUUCAUCAUUGUUUAAUUUUUUGUCAAUGCACCAAUUAUCUUCUACAAGAUCUAGCAGCAACACGCGGGGUAUCAUAUAGUUAACCUAGAGCCCAGUGCCAGUUUCUGUUUUCUUUCCUUGUUUUAGAGUUUCGUAG
This is a long non-coding RNA of Aegilops tauschii subsp. strangulata, 1732 nucleotides long. RefSeq lists it as uncharacterized. Lineage: Eukaryota; Viridiplantae; Streptophyta; Magnoliopsida; Poales; Poaceae. The record is from RefSeq and is a predicted model, not a curated record.